Molecule: ribosomal RNA, 234 nt
Filed under: uncultured bacterium
Lineage: Bacteria
Description: partial 16S ribosomal RNA
Rfam family: Bacterial small subunit ribosomal RNA
Source: RNAcentral
CGUACGGGUGCGGAACACGUGUGCAACCUGCCUUUAUCUGGGGGAUAGCCUUUCGAAAGGAAGAUUAAUACUCCAUAAUAUAUUGAACGGCAUCGUUUAAUAUUGAAAGCUCCGGCGGAUAGAGAUGGGCACGCGCAAGAUUAGCUAGUUGGUGAGGUAACGGCUCACCAAGGCGAUGAUCUUUAGGGGGCCUGAGAGGGUGAUCCCCCACACUGGUACUGAGACACGGACCAG